Molecule: long non-coding RNA, 344 nt
Filed under: Ananas comosus (pineapple)
Lineage: Eukaryota; Viridiplantae; Streptophyta; Magnoliopsida; Poales; Bromeliaceae
Description: long non-coding RNA (ACOM_LNC036433)
Source: RNAcentral
UAUAUAAUAUAUUGUAGCUAUUUAUUAUUUUGCCACAGAUAACUUGUAGUAUUAUUUGUUAGUGAGCGCUUUAGCUCUAAAAAAAUAGAUUUUACAGAUUAUCACUGUAUCACACUGAACACUACUCAACCAGAAUUUAAACAUAAUAUCAAUCACAAUAUUCAAGACAUAUUCGUCAUAAUACAAAAAAACGACUAUAUGUUCAAGUGCCACAAUCAAAAUAAGCUAACAGUUAAUUGUUCACAUCAAGUAUCAUUUGCACAAAACCACAUAAGUUUUUAAUCUCAUCAAAGUCACAUCUCAUAUUACUAACGUUUUAGAACAACGAAAAAAAAAACUCUAAA